GGACCAGGAUUCUAAAUGAGACCUGAGGGAAUGGAGCUGUUGUUGACAAGAGCUGUUAGACAAACAGGACAUGGAGGAGGAGUGGUCAUGCAUACCUCAAUGGGACAAAGUAUCUCCUCUGAGACUUCAGAAAAUCCUUUUCUUCUGGAGCCACUCUGUUCUGGAUUACCCUGAGAUUUUAAUGAGAUAAAGUCUAGAGAUGUAUAUAACUUUUCUGCAUCAUUUUGGAAUUUUAAUGAGAUGAAACGAGACCCAGAGACACCUGUUCUAGACCACUUUGGGAUCUUAAUGAGGUAAGGCUAACGGAGGAUGGACUAAAUUCAUUUUUUCCCAAGCUGUUCAGAGACCAAAUACACAGACAAGAAAUGCAAACAUAUGGAUGAAGUCUUCCAAAUUGCUACUUCCUCUAACUCCUUUUCUAAUCUUCAUGUUGUUUCUUUUUUAUUUAGAGUGUGUGUGUUGGUAGGUGUCAUCAGUGGAGGGCUGGUGGUUGGAAGUUAGAGGAGUAGCUGUUUAUGAAUUCUAGACCUGGACAGUCUUUGUCAUUAAGUUGAUAUGUGACCCCAUGGAUGCAAACAGGUUGAAGACAAGAGCUCUCUUUAAUGGAACCUGAACAGUGCCUAACUCCUGUAGAUAUUCACUGAAUGUUAAAUAACAACAGUGAUCAUGUAAUAAUGAUGCCCAAUUCACUUGGGAGAGAAUACCAAAUAGCUUGGAAUUUUCCUGUUACUGCCAGCAUGGCCUGAGAGCAUCCUGAGAGAGGUCAAAAGUCCGUCUGACUCACCUGUGCUGAGUGACUUGAAUGCCAUCUAAUCUAACUUCAAGGUCACAGUGUUUGGACACCGCAUGAACAUGCCAAUUUCCUGUGUUGUAAUAUUUUUAUGCACUUUAAGAAGACCACCAGAAACAGCAGAGUGAGUGAAUGACUGAGGCGCAUAUUGGACAAAAAUCACUUAUCCAAGACCACGUUACUACAACCCCAGGGCACAGAAGCUAAGUCUUCCUAUUGUACUGAACUCAGUUGACUGGAAUUUGUUCAGGAAAGCAUGAAGUCAAAUGGAAGCUAGUCCGUGACUGGAUUCAUCUUUUGGUAAAAAACGAAGAGGAGACCCCAUAUCCUGGAGGUUCUUGCUUAACCCUGUCCCUAAUAAGACCUAACUUUAUGAGUCUUCUCCUUAGAGGCAGUCCUAGGGUAAGAGUGAUUAUUCCUGUGAGCCUUGUAGGUACUUUCGAAUCAAGGAAAUUAGUAGUUGAUUGCUAAUUAAUUCAGUAUUUAAUGAAUUUAAGUACCUAGGCAAUGAGGCCACAAUAGCAAAUAAGACACAGACCUGUUUUCAAAAAGUAGCCUGUAAAUAAGAUAUUUUUUUCUGCCAUGGUGGCAAAGGCAUGACUAUGGUGAUGAACAUUCAUAGGCUCACCUUCUAGCUCUGUUGUAUGUUAACUGUGUGAACUUGGGUCAAGUUAUGAAAACUCUAAGAACUCUCAAAACUCCUGAUCUGUUUUAACAUGAAAGUAAAGAUAUCUAAUUGAAUUGUUGUGAAACUUAAAUGUAAUGUGACAUCCAAAGAAUGUAGCCCAAAGUUGGAUUUCAGUAAGUGAUAAAUAGAAGUAUUUAAACAUGGGUAUGGUAUGUUCUGUAACAGAAGAAUGUCUAUGUGCUGGGGAUACCUAGAGACAGUGAAAAUUCUGUCUGGCCUGCGAAUUAUAAUAAAAUGACUCUUUAAAGUCAAUGAG
Molecule: long non-coding RNA, 1734 nt
Filed under: Homo sapiens (human)
Lineage: Eukaryota; Metazoa; Chordata; Mammalia; Primates; Hominidae
Description: HSALNT0311108
Source: RNAcentral